RNAcentral lists this transfer RNA (73 nucleotides) under Felis catus (domestic cat). It matches the Rfam family "tRNA". From Rfam's summary of the family: Transfer RNA (tRNA) molecules are approximately 80 nucleotides in length. Their secondary structure includes four short double-helical elements and three loops (D, anti-codon, and T loops). Further hydrogen bonds mediate the characteristic L-shaped molecular structure. tRNAs have two regions of fundamental functional importance: the anti-codon, which is responsible for specific mRNA codon recognition, and the 3' end, to which the tRNAs corresponding amino acid is attached (by aminoacyl-tRNA synthetases). tRNAs cope with the degeneracy of the genetic code in two manners: having more than one tRNA (with a specific anti-codon) for a particular amino acid; and 'wobble' base-pairing, i.e. permitting non-standard base-pairing at the 3rd anti-codon position. The record is from Rfam by way of RNAcentral. Lineage: Eukaryota; Metazoa; Chordata; Mammalia; Carnivora; Felidae.
ACCUGGCUGGCUCAGCUGGUAGAGCAUGUGACUCAUGAUCUCAGGGUUGUGAGUUCAAGCCCCACAUUGGGCU